GGGGGAGGCCGGAUCCUGGGCUGUGUCCCGGCGCCCUGUGCUCCGGGGCCUGCGCUGUUGGAUUCGCGCUCCCGGGCCGCGCAAACCCCU
This is a non-coding RNA of Canis lupus familiaris (dog), 90 nucleotides long. The record is from Rfam. Lineage: Eukaryota; Metazoa; Chordata; Mammalia; Carnivora; Canidae.